GGUCGGUUAGCUCAGUUGGUUAGAGCGUGGUACUAAUAUACGAUCGGAUAUGUCAAGUAAUGCCAAGGCCGGGAGUUAAAGCCUCCCACUGAUCA
This 95-nucleotide transfer RNA is filed under the name Colletotrichum graminicola M1.001. Its description in RNAcentral is "tRNA-Ile for anticodon AAU". The record is from RNAcentral. Lineage: Eukaryota; Fungi; Ascomycota; Sordariomycetes; Glomerellales; Glomerellaceae.